CGCGUCCGUCCCGUGGACGCCCUGCCCAUCCCGGCCCGCUCCCGGUUACGCUGGCGCCGUGCGCCGUUCCCCCGGAUGCCCCCCGUGUGUCCGGGAAGCCGCAUAGCCGACAGCCGUCGCACUCGAGGGAGCCCCUUACAUG
Molecule: small RNA, 142 nt
Filed under: Streptomyces afghaniensis 772
Lineage: Bacteria; Bacillati; Actinomycetota; Actinomycetes; Kitasatosporales; Streptomycetaceae
Description: Streptomyces-metH RNA
Rfam family: Streptomyces-metH RNA
Source: Rfam by way of RNAcentral